UGUGUGUCUACUAGUAGUCCAACCCUACUGCAGGCCUGUACGGAUCGAACAGACGAUUCCCGAGUGCGACGAAUGUCCUGAAGUCUGCUCCUAGGUCCUAUUACUAUUAGCUAGGUACUACAUGUAUCUAAAAAUUUCAACUUGAGUGUCAAGUGAAGACUUUGUCGGUUGCAGCCGAGGUAAUUCUCGCUUCACGAUUUUUCUGGUGUACGAAGAUACGUUGGAAUGCCGCCCCACCACAUCCGACAGUAUGCUUCGGCAGGAAUGCAGAUACUGUCAACAUUGCUCCAGGGAAUUCAUCCUACACUGCAUCCCACAGGGCAUCCCACACUGCAUCCUACAGUAAGCAGCAGCAGAGAUUUUCCCGACAGCUGCUUGGCAGUGACGCAACGACAUCAUCAAACGGCUCAGCAAGUGACAGCGGUUAUCACCCAUAGACGUCAACAAUGUGUUCAGCGGAUAUAGCCGUCGGUCCAAUCACAAGCCGUCAGAUCCCUCCCCAUGGUGUCAAUGAUCGGCAACAACAGAUGCACUUCCCACUGCUACAACAUCAGUAUGCCAGGUAUACACAGUGACCGCCACAACCAACACUGCAGUAGCAGCAGCUGUAACAUCAGCCAUCGCCACAUCAUCCUAUACAGUUUUCAACGCAUGGAAUGCUCACAGGACUUCUCUCUUGAACUCUGUAACACGUGGUGUGUGUGACAUCACAGUAUCACUCCAAUUGGUGUGUGACAUCACAGUAUCACUCCAAUUCCAGUGACAUCACAGUAUCACUCCAAUUCCAGUGACAUCACAGCAUCACUCCAAUUCCAGCCUGUCAGCCUGUCUCUUCACCGCUCCACACCGUCAUUAAUCAUGAGACCCAUGUUGCACAACCAUCAUGCUCUACUAAAGCAGCAGCAGCACCACCACCAACAUCACCACCUCCACAACAUUCUGCUGAACUGCCUGAUAGCCAUCCUGUUGUUCCCAUGCAAAAGAGGGCAGUUACUGGAUCUGGGAGAGGCCAAUCAGCAGCUGCUGCACUCGAGCAGUCGUCAUAGUUUCAGUCAAAAGUGUGAUGUGAGCGCUUGAACCUUUCAGUCUCGGUCCUGCUAGGCGUCUUCUAGUGGCAGCAGGACAUUUCUUCCACUGUCCAGGUUUGACAACUUUGUUGCCGAAACCAUGAUGCUCUCUGGAGAAUGCAUAACAAGUUUUCCUCAAGGACCAGCUGCAAAAUAGGACAACGCGGUGUGCUGCCUUCCAAUGAGGUGUAAGGAAUGGAUCAUCGAGGGAGGUGUAAGGAAUGGAUCAUCGAGGGAGGUGUAAGGAAUGGAUCAUCGAGGGAGGUGUAAGAAAUGGAUCAUCGAGGGAGGUGUAAGGAAUGGAUCAUCGAGGAGACACUUGAAUUACUGUAACGGUGUCUGGUUGACACUCCAAGCUGAGAAGUCAUUGUGCGGCUCAUCUCCAGAGCAACAUUGUCCUCCUAUACCGCUUUCCUCUACUGACAAGACUACUUCAGGUACAUCAAGAAAAGCAAUGGAAGCAGCAGCAGCAGCCAUAGGGCAGGCGCGUAGCCCGCAUGGGGCACGGGGGCACGUGCACCCCCCCCCCCCCCAAAGGGUUUGACCUAGGUUCAUAAUGACCAUGAAUUACACUCACCAGCCAUCCAACACAUAUGCGGUGGCCGUGCACCCCCUAAACGGGGGACUCCCCCCCCCCCCCAACCCCUGUAGGAGUGCUGUUCUGAAUAGAAGCCUGAUUUUUACGAUACACUGAUGUCAUAAAAGCCUAGUUUUAUUGUUGACAUACAUAGGAAAUUAAUAUCUGAUUAGAAUAGAAGCCGCCGGCCUCUACCGGAAUAAGCCCGACUAUAAUAUUAUUAUGCGACAUCACGGUCGUUUUAUAUACUGAAUCUACACAUCAUGCCACCAUUGCUGGCAAGUAAGUUCCAUUUCCCAGGCAAUAACAUUCUGCUAAGGUUACCGUACUCGCGUGAUUAGAGCUCUCUCUCUCGAAUAGCGCCCCAGUCUCCAAGAACCAGUGAAAAAAUAAAGCCCUCUCUUGAAUAGUGCCCCUCCCCCCC
Molecule: long non-coding RNA, 2068 nt
Organism: Sycon ciliatum
Lineage: Eukaryota; Metazoa; Porifera; Calcarea; Leucosolenida; Sycettidae
Exons: 4
Source: RefSeq, a predicted model, not a curated record